RNAcentral lists this ribosomal RNA (450 nucleotides) under uncultured bacterium. RNAcentral describes it as "partial 16S ribosomal RNA". It matches the Rfam family "Bacterial small subunit ribosomal RNA", at positions 354 to 796 of the family's 1533-position model. The record is from RNAcentral.
GUGGGGAAUUUUGGACAAUGGGCGCAAGCCUGAUCCAGCAAUGCCGCGUGCAGGAAGAAGGCCUUCGGGUUGUAAACUGCUUUUGUACGGAACGAAACGGUCCGGGUUAAUACCCUGGGCUAAUGACGGUACCGUAAGAAUAAGCACCGGCUAACUACGUGCCAGCAGCCGCGGUAAUACGUAGGGUGCAAGCGUUAAUCGGAAUUACUGGGCGUAAAGCGUUCGCAGGCGGUUUUGUAAGACAGGCGUGAAAUCCCCGGGCGCAACCUGGGAAUUGCGCUUGUGACUGCAAGGCAGGAGUGCGGCAGAGGGGGAUGGAAUUCCGCGUGUAGCAGUGAAAUGCGUAGAUAUGCGGAGGAACACCGAUGGCGAAGGCAAUCCCCUGGGCCUGCACUGACGCUCAUGCACGAAAGCGUGGGGAGCAAACAGGAUUAGAAACCCGUGUAGUCC